Sciurus vulgaris (Eurasian red squirrel) is the source of this 133-nucleotide small nucleolar RNA. Lineage: Eukaryota; Metazoa; Chordata; Mammalia; Rodentia; Sciuridae. The record is from Ensembl.
CCUUUCUCAGCUCCACUGAAUAACACAGGCCCACUGUGUACAUGGUUUAUUUUAAGGAAGAGAGAGGAAGGCCCUCCUAUGUAUGGAAAACCUGCUCCAAAGUGGUCUCUUGGUUCCCAGGAGUGCAACAGCU